Chelonia mydas (Green sea turtle) is the source of this 1426-nucleotide long non-coding RNA. RefSeq lists it as uncharacterized. The record is from RefSeq and is a predicted model, not a curated record. Lineage: Eukaryota; Metazoa; Chordata; Testudines; Cheloniidae. The transcript has 2 exons.
CGACACGCAGCCCAGUGAAAAGUUGGAGGAUGGCCAGCGUGAGAGAGGAGUGAUUGAAAUGGUCAUGCUGACGUCCAGACUUCCAAGGGUAUCUCAAUCACCAUUGCCUCACGACUGCGUGGAGUCAUUUCCACUGGUGCAGAGCUCACAACGCAAUCGACUCCGCAAGAUGCAGGGAACCGAGAAUAGCUACAAGAAAGUUAUUGCCCCAAAUUAUCAGAAAUUAUAACAGACUGCCAAUCAAAAAGCCGUGUGGGACAACUGUGCAUUACCCUGGCCUAGGAGAUGGGGAGAGACAGCAGAGGCAGUAUUGCAAUCUACCAUCAAAUCAAGGAUGGAUAAUAAUGACCAAAUGGACACUGGAUAAAAACCUAGUCGCAUACCAGAACUCCGUCUUGGAUAGCUGCCUAAUGUACUGUAUCUGCCUCUGACAAGCACCCAAGUUCCUGUUCUUUUUUUCACUUUGGCGCCACUUGUUGAUGCCACUACUAUAUUUUUAAAAGAAUGGAAGCCCACAUCCUUUGUCUGAGAAUCAAUGUUAUCAGAAGAUAAGCAAGAAGAAAAUGGUUGUUGCCUUUUGACAUCUGACAAUGAGAAUCAUGCUAAAAUGGAGCAAACAGGAUACCAGCAAUGGUUUGGAGUGACCAGAAGGAGACGUUGGAGGGUGUUUGUCAAAAGCCAGGCUGUCAGAGCAGGAACGCCUUUCGCGAUGGUUUCACUAUAAAAGAUUGCCCCGGUCAUUCGGAGAUGUAUACUUUUUUAAAAAUAGGAGCGAUUACCAAGAAGGUCACUGAAAUUACUCACUUUUAUGGUGCCUCCUUUUGUUGCAGCACUUAGGUCUAUUAUGCAAAACCACAAUUGAUGAAAUGUAAAUGCCUGUGAGAUAAUUCACCAAAAGACACAAACCUGCAACUCAUCACUGAACUCAUUAUCAUUCCUAUUCAUGGGCAGUCUCACAAGACCAGACAUUAUUACCACUGCUCUGCUUACAAUCCUACUGGACACUAUUCUUUUUCUCUCCUCCCUCCCACAGAAGGAGAAGGAGGGGAAGAGAAGUAAAUAUGAUUUACUUCUGAUGUAAAUACAAAAGUUCAUGUAAAGCUAGUGUUUUGCUUUCAUGUCAGAUAUUAUUCUGCAGCCAUAGUUAAGCUUUGAAUAAUAUGGAUUGCCUCUAGGGUAAUAUUUGAAAGAGCAGGCAUUCAGUUUGUGUACUCUGCACAUGAAAGACACUGAAAUGUUCAUAUCACUAAAAUCCCUGCCAUCUACCCAAUUUCCUCCCAACUUGUCUUGUUGCGUGCAGAGGGUCUGUGCUUACUGAAGCAAACGAGUUUAGUGCAAGGACAAUCAUUCUGUUUCGCUCAGGGCUAUUGCAUUAACAAGUCAUAACAUUAAAGUCGUCUUCUUCUUCUUCUUUUGUUUUUUUUAA